RNAcentral lists this ribosomal RNA (776 nucleotides) under Lasiodiplodia pseudotheobromae. RNAcentral describes it as "SSU rRNA". It matches the Rfam family "Bacterial small subunit ribosomal RNA", at positions 531 to 975 of the family's 1533-position model. Lineage: Eukaryota; Fungi; Ascomycota; Dothideomycetes; Botryosphaeriales; Botryosphaeriaceae. The record is from RNAcentral.
GAGACUAGUGUUAUUCAUCUUUAUUAGGUUUAAAGGGUACCUAGACGGUAUAUCAAGCCCCAAAAGGGAACGGAUAUACUAGAGUUUUAUGUGAGAGGCAAAUAUAGUACUAUUGGUGUAGAGAUAAAAUUCAUUGAUACCUCUAGGCACGGGUAACGGCGAAGGCAAUCCUCUAUGUAAAAACUGACGUUGAGGGACGAAGGCUCGGGUAGCGAAUAGGAUUAGAUACCCUAGUAGUCCGGGCAGACAAUUAUGAAUGUCAUAGAUUAGAAAACAAAGAAGCUAGUAGGUUUGCUAUGAACAGACUGUAUAAUUUAAGAGUCUUGUUAUUAAAUUAUACAGUCUCUACUGUAACUAGUUUAGAUAUUAACUCUUAAACUUCCUUAAACGAGAGUCUCCUCAUUUUCCUUCUGACUUCUCAUUAAAGGGGAGAGGCCUCCCGAGAAGCAAAGCAGAUGGGUGUAGAAUGGGAGUUUAAGGAAGGUUUAUUUGCCUCUUGGAUUAUUCAUUCUUUAAAUAAACCUUCGAAGGUUAGUUAUCUUCUCUAGUUAACCGUACACAAGGAGCUAGAAGUGUAGUAUAUAUCAACUUGUGUAUUAAAAAGGAUACGGGUAAAGGUUUGCUUCUUCACCUUCCUAUUUUUGGUCUAUAAAUGAAAGUGUAAGCAUUCCACCUCAAGAGUAAGGCGGCAACGUUGGAACUGAAAUCAUUAGACCGUUUCUGAAACCAGUAGUGAAGUAUGUUAUUUAAUUCGAUGAUCCUCGAAAAACCUUACC